RNAcentral lists this ribosomal RNA (478 nucleotides) under uncultured bacterium. RNAcentral describes it as "partial 16S ribosomal RNA". It matches the Rfam family "Bacterial small subunit ribosomal RNA", at positions 28 to 523 of the family's 1533-position model. The record is from RNAcentral.
GACGAACGCUGGCGGCGUGCUUAACACAUGCAAGUCGAACGGUAAGGCCCUUCGGGGUACACGAGUGGCGAACGGGUGAGUAACACGUGGGUGAUCUGCCCUGCACUUCGGGAUAAGCCUGGGAAACUGGGUCUAAUACCGGAUAGGGCCACUGCCUGCAUGGGUGGUGGUGGAAAGCUUUUGCGGUGUGGGAUGGGCCCGCGGCCUAUCAGCUUGUUGGUGGGGUGAUGGCUUACCAAGGCGACGACGGGUAGCCGGCCUGAGAGGGUGACCGGCCACACUGGGACUGAGAUACGGCCCAGACUCCUACGGGAGGCAGCAGUGGGGAAUAUUGCACAAUGGGCGCAAGCCUGAUGCAGCGACGCCGCGUGAGGGAUGACGGCCUUCGGGUUGUAAACCUCUUUCAGCACCGACGAAGCGCAAGUGACGGUAGGUGCAGAAGAAGGACCGGCCAACUACGUGCCAGCAGCCGCGGUAA